GGUCAAGAAAGAAAGGGCAUACGGCGGAUGCCUUGGCGCUAAGAGCCGACGAAGGGCGUGGAAAGCUGCGAAAAGCCACGGGGAGCCGCAAGCAGGCAGAGAUCCGUGGAUACCCGAAUGGGGCAACCCGGCGGAGGGAACCUCCGUCACCCUGUGCUGAACCCAUAGGCACAGAGGAGGGCACCCGGGGAACUGAAACAUCUAAGUACCCGGAGGAAGAGAAAGAAACAUCGACCCCCCCAGUAGCGGCGAGCGAAAAGGGGCGAGCCUAAACCAAACCUCUACGGAGGUAUGGGGUUGCGGGACCUUCAAGAAGUAAUUGAAGACCUAGCUGAAGCUGUCUGGAAAGGCACUGCACAGAAGGUAACACACCUGUAAGCGAAAGGUUGAAGAUUAUAGAAGGAAUCCCAAGUACCACAGGACACGUGAAACCCUGUGGGAAUCCGGGGGGACCACCCCCCAAGGCUAAAUACUCUUAGCGACCGAUAGUGAACCAGUACCGUGAGGGAAAGGUGAAAAGCACCCCGGGAGGGGAGUGAAAGAGAACCUGAAACCGUAUGCCUACAAGCUGUCGGAGCGCUAUUCGAGGUUCGAUAUUCGAGAUUCGACGUUCGAAUGCAUGUCAGAUCUUACGGGACUAAAUAAAAAAGACCCCAAAGGAAUGCUUGUAUCGAACCACGAACUUCGAACAUCGAACUUCGAAGCGUGACGGCGUACUUUUUGUAGAACGGACCGGCGAGUUACAUCUAACGUGCAGGUUAAGGCAGGAAAGCCGGAGCCAAAGCGAAAGCGAGUCUUAAGAGGGCGAGAUGUACGUUGGAGUAGACCCGAAACCUGGUGAUCUACCCAUGUCCAGAGUGAAGCUUUAGUAAAAUAAAGUGGAGGCUCGAACCGACCUUCGUUGAAAAGGAGGCGGAUGAGGUGUGGGUAGGGGUGAAAUGCCAAUCGAACCAGGAGAUAGCUGGUUCUCCCCGAAAUAGCUUUAGGGCUAGCCUCGGAUGAUGGCAAGCGGAGGUAGAGCACUGAAUGGGCUAGGGGCCUUCACGGGUUACCGAACCCAAUCAAACUCCGAAUGCCGCGAUGCCAAAUCCGGGAGUCAGACUGCGAGUGCUAAAAUCCGUAGUCGAGAGGGAAACAGCCCAAAACCAACAGCUAAAGGUCCCCAGACAGGCUAAGUGGAAAAGGAUGUGGGGUUGCAAAAACAACCAGGGAUGGUGGGUUUUCCCCCCCUUUUCCCCAAAACUNNNNNNUUUUUUUUCCCUNNUNNUUUUCUNUUCUCCCNNNNUUUCCNNNNNNCCUUCCCCCNCCCCCUCUUUUUUNUUUCUCCUCCCCUUCCCUUCCCCCCUCCUCCNUCCCCCCUNCCUCUCCCCCCUCUUUCCCCCCUCCCUCCUUUCUUCCCUUUUUCUCUCUUCCCACCUAUCUUCUCCCUCCCUCCUCCCCCCUUCCCCCCUCCCUCUCNCCCUNNNUCCUUUCUUCUCUUUUNNUUCNCUUCUCCUUNCUCUUNCUCCNUCUUCUUCUCUCUUCUCCCCCUUCCUUNNUCUCCUUCCCNCCUCUCCUCUCUUCUCNUUNNUCU
Molecule: non-coding RNA, 1573 nt
Filed under: Desulforamulus hydrothermalis Lam5 = DSM 18033
Lineage: Bacteria; Bacillati; Bacillota; Clostridia; Eubacteriales; Peptococcaceae
Description: Desulfotomaculum hydrothermale Lam5 = DSM 18033 Bacterial large subunit ribosomal RNA
Rfam family: Bacterial large subunit ribosomal RNA
Source: Rfam by way of RNAcentral